GAUGAACGCUGGCGGCGUGCCUAAUACAUGCAAGUCGAGCGAACGGACGAGAAGCUUGCUUUUCUGAUGUUAGCGGCGGACGGGUGAGUAACACGUGGAUAACCUACCUAUAAGACUGGGAUAACUUCGGGAAACCGGAACUAAUACCGGAUAAUAUUUUGAACCGCAUGGUUCAAAAGUGAAAGACGGUCUUGCUGUCACUUAUAGAUGGAUCCGCGCUGCAUUAGCUAGUUGGUAAGGUAACGGCUUACCAAGGCAACGAUGCAUAGCCGACCUGAGAGGGUGAUCGGCCACACUGGAACUGAGACACGGUCCAGACUCCUACGGGAGGCAGCAGUAGGGAAUCGUCCGCAAUGGGCGAAAGCCUGACGGAGCAACGCCGCGUGAGUGAUGAAGGUCUUCGGAUCGUAAAACUCUGUUAUUAGGGAAGAACAUAUGUGUAAGUAACUGUGCACAUCUUGACGGUACCUAAUCAGAAAGCCACGGCUAACUACGUG
This 497-nucleotide ribosomal RNA is filed under the name uncultured bacterium. RNAcentral describes it as "partial 16S ribosomal RNA". It matches the Rfam family "Bacterial small subunit ribosomal RNA", at positions 28 to 507 of the family's 1533-position model. The record is from RNAcentral.